This 2315-nucleotide long non-coding RNA is filed under the name Salvia miltiorrhiza (redroot sage). Its description in RNAcentral is "long non-coding RNA (SMIL_LNC005460)". Lineage: Eukaryota; Viridiplantae; Streptophyta; Magnoliopsida; Lamiales; Lamiaceae. The record is from RNAcentral.
UAUAUAUAUAUAUUUAAGCAAAUACCAUAGAUCUAAACAUAGCAGAAGUUGUAACUGGAUGCAUCAGUCACAAUUCCGUCAGCCCACCGGGCCAGCCCAUCGGGUUUUCGGGCUAGCCCUAUCGGGUUCCGGGUUAGUCGAGUGCGGGCUAAUCGGGCUGAAGGUUUUUUCGGGUUGCGAUUUUUCAACCCUAACCCUCUAAUUUUGUCGGGUUAUUCGGGUCGGCCCACGGAUUUCGGGCUGCAUUGACAUCCCUAAUUAUGGACAUCAAAAGAUGUGACUUAGAAAGAAAACAUAAUGAUUCAACAAAUAAUAAACAUGAGAAACAGAUUUCUUACAGUUCUAUCAUAACAUCUAGUUACAAACUCACGGCCAGUUGGUGAAUAAUCAAUAUCCAUUCUGAGUAUGAGCCAUCAAAAAUUAGUAAAGCAAAAUGUUUGAACUGAAUACUAAAUCAGAACCAAUGUUUUAAAAAACGUUUGAGGCGUACGAACUGAGGCGCGCCUCAGUUCCAAUCCUUAGAAAAUCGCAUCUGAGGCGCCGCCUCAGUUGAUUGAAAUGAAACUUACGCCUCAGUUAAUUGAGGCGCACUGAGGCGGUGGGUAAGAACCAGUUCGUUUGAGGCUUAAGCCUCAGUUAGAAUUUGAUUUUUCAGUCCAAAUUGAGUGGGCUUUGUAUAUUUUAACCGAAUUACUAAUGGGCUUUAUUAAUUUAGGCCCAAUUUAAGUAAAGCCCUACAUAUUAUUAUUAAUUAAUACCUAAUAGUCUAAUAUACUAUGGAAUACAAAAAGUCACGUAGGAAAUACUAUGGUUUUUGGACUUGUGGUCGUAUAAGUACUAGUUAUUUUGCUAUGAACCUAUUAUUAUAUAGCUUAUGAGUGUUAAGUUGGUAUUUUAUUAUAGCUUUUGACUUUAUGGUAUUAGUUAUUUUGUUAUGAACUUAUUAUAUUUAUGAACCUAUAAUUUUUCUUAAAGGCUUACGCCUUGAAUUGGUUCCUACGCCUCGGUUCGAACUGGUUCCUACGCCUCAUGGUACUAUAAGAAACGCCUCGGUUCUCGAUUUAGUUUUUUAAAACAUUGAUCAGAACCUCAAAAUUUAGGAUUUAUAAGAUAUUAGUAGUUGAGACUUACACUGCAGAAACAUGAUCUUUGUGCACACAUCUUGUCUCAUUCAUUUUUCGAACAUCAUAACUAUAGGCUAUAGCAAUUGCAAUCUUCAUUUUGCCUGAAUUGACAUGAUAUUUUAAUUUACAAUCAUAGCAUUUCAAGAUAUAUAAUUUCACCAGGCCAUGAACUAGCUCACAACUUUUCAUGCAUGUGUUAUUGGAUGCCAUAUAACAGACUAACAAUUCCAACCAAAUUUUGCAUGCUUAUUGAGAAAAAAGAAUAAUAUAUGAAUCAUAAUCAAGUGCACAUGUCAUAAAUAGGUAAUCCGGGUGCUUUACUACUGCCUCAAAAGUUAUAUUAGAAAAUGAUGCAUACAAAAGCAAAUGAAACUUUAGAGGCCAGCAUCUUAAUGCAGCAGGAGAAGAUAUAUGUAGGUUCGACAAGUCAAAACAUUCAUUUUUUUUAUACUACUCCCUUGCAAGCAUGAAUAUCUGCAAAAUUCACCAAAAAUCAACACAUAAAUUACUUGAAAGCUUCGAAACAAUCCCAGCAAAUUCCAGAUAAAAUUGCACGAAAAUGAGGAGAAACUAAUUGUCAGCAAUGACAACAUAAUAAUACGGACAACACACAAUUUUAACCUAAUUUGACGGAUACGCAGAAUUGGAUUUGCAAAUCAAAAUGGUUGACAUUUCUAUCAAACAACUUGGGCUAAUUACAACAAGGAACAAAAAAAAUGUACUAUAUGUUACGAGUAAAAUCUACCGAAAUACUAUUGAAGUGCAAUCUAACCAAAAAUUUGAGCCUGUUUCUGGCUUGCCUUGGAGGCUCUGAGACGUGGUGGCGGUGACCAGAGAAGAAGAGGACGGCGCCGACAAGAUACAGUUCUAGAGGUCGACUAGCUAGGGCGCUAAAGAUUGAGGUCGGGCGGCAGAGAAGCGACGGCGCAAGGUAGGGUGAUGCCGGGGAGGUUGGCGGGGGAGAGAAGUGAGGCGCUGGAUAGGGCGGGGCGGCACAGGGAGGUCGGCGGGGGAGAGAGGCGAGGCGCUGGAUAGGGCGGCGCAGGGAGGAUGGCGAGGACUGAUGGAGUUACCCUAGGGAACCAAGAAGAAAACUAAUGUUUAAUUCAUAUAGUUUUUUCUAAUUUGUUUUGUAUUUUCAUGUUUAAUUUUUUUUUAAUUAUAAUAUAAAACCGGUUUUUAACCGAUGUG